Molecule: ribosomal RNA, 1532 nt
Filed under: uncultured Gammaproteobacteria bacterium
Lineage: Bacteria; Pseudomonadati; Pseudomonadota; Gammaproteobacteria
Description: bacterial SSU rRNA
Rfam family: Bacterial small subunit ribosomal RNA
Source: RNAcentral
AGAGUUUGAUCCUGGCUCAGAUUGAACGCUGGCGGCAGGCCUAACACAUGCAAGUCGAGCGGAUGACGGGAGCUUGCUCCUUGAUUCAGCGGCGGACGGGUGAGUAAUGCCUAGGAAUCUGCCUGGUAGUGGGGGACAACGUUUCGAAAGGAACGCUAAUACCGCAUACGUCCUACGGGAGAAAGCAGGGGACCUUCGGGCCUUGCGCUAUCAGAUGAGCCUAGGUCGGAUUAGCUAGUUGGUGGGGUAAUGGCUCACCAAGGCGACGAUCCGUAACUGGUCUGAGAGGAUGAUCAGUCACACUGGAACUGAGACACGGUCCAGACUCCUACGGGAGGCAGCAGUGGGGAAUAUUGGACAAUGGGCGAAAGCCUGAUCCAGCCAUGCCGCGUGUGUGAAGAAGGUCUUCGGAUUGUAAAGCACUUUAAGUUGGGAGGAAGGGCAGUAAGCUAAUACCUUGCUGUUUUGACGUUACCGACAGAAUAAGCACCGGCUAACUCUGUGCCAGCAGCCGCGGUAAUACAGAGGGUGCAAGCGUUAAUCGGAAUUACUGGGCGUAAAGCGCGCGUAGGUGGUUUGUUAAGUUGGAUGUGAAAGCCCCGGGCUCAACCUGGGAACUGCAUCCAAAACUGGCAAGCUAGAGUACGGUAGAGGGUGGUGGAAUUUCCUGUGUAGCGGUGAAAUGCGUAGAUAUAGGAAGGAACACCAGUGGCGAAGGCGACCACCUGGACUGAUACUGACACUGAGGUGCGAAAGCGUGGGGGAGCAAACAGGAUUAGAUACCCUGGUAGUCCACGCCGUAAACGAUGUCAACUAGCCGUUGGAAUCCUUGAGAUUUUAGUGGCGCAGCUAACGCAUUAAGUGGACCGCCCUGGGGAGUACGGCCGCAAGGUUAAAACUCAAAUGAAUUUGACGGGGGCCCGCACAAGCGGUGGAGCAUGUGGUUUAAUUCGAAGCAACGCGAAGAACCUUACCAGGCCUUGACAUGCAGAGAACUUUCCAGAGAUGGAUUGGUGCCUUCGGGAACUCUGACACAGGUGCUGCAUGGCUGUCGUCAGCUCGUGUCGUGAGAUGUUGGGUUAAGUCCCGUAACGAGCGCAACCCUUGUCCUUAGUUACCAGCACGUUAUGGUGGGCACUCUAAGGAGACUGCCGGUGACAAACCGGAGGAAGGUGGGGAUGACGUCAAGUCAUCAUGGCCCUUACGGCCUGGGCUACACACGUGCUACAAUGGUCGGUACAGAGGGUUGCCAAGCCGCGAGGUGGAGCUAAUCUCACAAAACCGAUCGUAGUCCGGAUCGCAGUCUGCAACUCGACUGCGUGAAGUCGGAAUCGCUAGUAAUCGCGAAUCAGAAUGUCGCGGUGAAUACGUUCCCGGGCCUUGUACACACCGCCCGUCACACCAUGGGAGUGGGUUGCACCAGAAGUAGCUAGUCUAACCUUCGGGAGGACGGUUACCACGGUGUGAUUCAUGACUGGGGUGAAGUCGUAACAAGGUAGCCGUAGGGGAACCUGCGGCUGGAUCACCUCCUU